RNAcentral lists this ribosomal RNA (333 nucleotides) under uncultured Glomeromycotina. RNAcentral's name for it is "eukaryotic LSU rRNA". Lineage: Eukaryota; Fungi; Glomeromycota. The record is from RNAcentral.
CAGUCGUACCGACGGAAAAUCAGCUUUUUGAGUGCGGACUUGUGGGUUUACGUGAGCUUUACGGCCUCGUUGUUUGCAAUGUUCGUUCUUUUUGGGUGUACUUUUUCGUAUGGUUGGCCAAUAUCAGUUUCGAUCGCUAUAAAAUGACCGGCGGAAUGUAGCUUCGAUCUCGUAUUGAAGUGUUAUAGCCUCUGGUAGAUGUGGUGAUUGGGACUGAGGAUUGCAACGAAUACCUUUUUGGGCUAUCCGUCUGAUCUCUGAAAGUUGCUUAGGUGCCGAAAGCGUGCUUACGGUUAUUUAAGUUGACGGUCAAAAGGUUAGAACGUGAUUAUA